GGGUUGUGAGGUUAAGCGACUAAGCGUACACGGUGGAUGCCCUGGCAGUCAGAGGCGAUGAAGGGCGUGCUAAUCUGCGAUAAGCGCCGGUAAGGUGAUAUGAACCGUUAUAACCGGCGAUACCCGAAUGGGGAAACCCAGUGUGACUCGUCACACUAUCAUUAACUGAAUCCAUAGGUUAAUGAGGCGAACCGGGGGAACUGAAACAUCUAAGUACCCCGAGGAAAAGAAAUCAACCGAGAUUCCCCCAGUAGCGGCGAGCGAACGGGGAGGAGCCCAGAGCCUGAAUCAGCAUGUGUGUUAGUGGAAGCGUCUGGAAAGGCGCGCGAUACAGGGUGACAGCCCCGUACACAAAAGCGCAUGUGCUGUGAGCUCGAUGAGUAGGGCGGGACACGUGGUAUCCUGUCUGAAUAUGGGGGGACCAUCCUCCAAGGCUAAAUACUCCUGACUGACCGAUAGUGAACCAGUACCGUGAGGGAAAGGCGAAAAGAACCCCGGCGAGGGGAGUGAAAAAGAACCUGAAACCGUGUACGUACAAGCAGUGGGAGCACCCUUUGGGUGUGACUGCGUACCUUUUGUAUAAUGGGUCAGCGACUUAUAUUCUGUAGCAAGGUUAACCGAAUAGGGGAGCCGGAGGGAAACCGAGUCUUAACCGGGCGUUAAGUUGCAGGGUAUAGACCCGAAACCCGGUGAUCUAGCCAUGGGCAGGUUGAAGGUUGGGUAACACUAACUGGAGGACCGAACCGACUAAUGUUGAAAAAUUAGCGGAUGACCUGUGGCUGGGGGGUGAAAGGCCAAUCAAACCGGGAGAUAGCUGGUUCUCCCCGAAAGCUAUUUAGGUAGCGCCUCGUGAAUUCAUCUCCGGGGGUAGAGCACUGUUUCGGCUAGGGGGCCAUCCCGGCUUACCAACCCGAUGCAAACUGCGAAUACCGGAGAAUGUUAUCACGGGAGACACACGGCGGGUGCUAACGUCCGUCGUGAAGAGGGAAACAACCCAGACCGCCAGCUAAGGUCCCAAAGUCAUGGUUAAGUGGGAAACGAUGUGGGAAGGCCCAGACAGCCAGGAUGUUGGCUUAGAAGCAGCCAUCAUUUAAAGAAAGCGUAAUAGCUCACUGGUCGAGUCGGCCUGCGCGGAAGAUGUAACGGGGCUAAACCAUGCACCGAAGCUGCGGCAGCGACACUGUGUGUUGUUGGGUAGGGGAGCGUUCUGUAAGCCUGCGAAGGUGGCCUGUGAGGGUUGCUGGAGGUAUCAGAAGUGCGAAUGCUGACAUAAGUAACGAUAAAGCGGGUGAAAAGCCCGCUCGCCGGAAGACCAAGGGUUCCUGUCCAACGUUAAUCGGGGCAGGGUGAGUCGACCCCUAAGGCGAGGCCGAAAGGCGUAGUCGAUGGGAAACGGGUUAAUAUUCCCGUACUUGGUGUUACUGCGAAGGGGGGACGGAGAAGGCUAUGUUGGCCGGGCGACGGUUGUCCCGGUUUAAGCGUGUAGGUGUGUGUUCCGGUAAAUCCGGUUCACUUUAACACUGAGGCGUGACGACGAGGCACUACGGUGCUGAAGCAACAAAUGCCCUGCUUCCAGGAAAAGCCUCUAAGCAUCAGGUAACAUCAAAUCGUACCCCAAACCGACACAGGUGGUCAGGUAGAGAAUACCAAGGCGCUUGAGAGAACUCGGGUGAAGGAACUAGGCAAAAUGGUGCCGUAACUUCGGGAGAAGGCACGCUGACACGUAGGUGAAGUGAUUUACUCAUGGAGCUGAAGUCAGUCGAAGAUACCAGCUGGCUGCAACUGUUUAUUAAAAACACAGCACUGUGCAAACACGAAAGUGGACGUAUACGGUGUGACGCCUGCCCGGUGCCGGAAGGUUAAUUGAUGGGGUCAGCGCAAGCGAAGCUCCUGAUCGAAGCCCCGGUAAACGGCGGCCGUAACUAUAACGGUCCUAAGGUAGCGAAAUUCCUUGUCGGGUAAGUUCCGACCUGCACGAAUGGCGUAAUGAUGGCGGGCUGUCUCCACCCGAGACUCAGUGAAAUUGAACUCGCUGUGAAGAUGCAGUGUACCCGCGGCAAGACGGAAAGACCCCGUGAACCUUUACUAUAGCUUGACACUGAACAUUGAGCCUUGAUGUGUAGGAUAGGUGGGAGGCUUUGAAGUGUGGACGCCAGUCUGCAUGGAGCCGACCUUGAAAUACCACCCUUUAAUGUUUGAUGUUCUAACGUGGACCCGUUACCCGGGUUGCGGACAGUGUCUGGUGGGUAGUUUGACUGGGGCGGUCUCCUCCUAAAGAGUAACGGAGGAGCACGAAGGUUGGCUAAUCUGGUCGGACAUCAGGAGGUUAGUGCAAUGGCAUAAGCCAGCUUGACUGCGAGCGUGACGGCGCGAGCAGGUGCGAAAGCAGGUCAUAGUGAUCCGGUGGUUCUGAAUGGAAGGGCCAUCGCUCAACGGAUAAAAGGUACUCCGGGGAUAACAGGCUGAUACCGCCCAAGAGUUCAUAUCGACGGCGGUGUUUGGCACCUCGAUGUCGGCUCAUCACAUCCUGGGGCUGAAGUAGGUCCCAAGGGUAUGGCUGUUCGCCAUUUAAAGUGGUACGCGAGCUGGGUUUAGAACGUCGUGAGACAGUUCGGUCCCUAUCUGCCGUGGGCGCUGGAGAACUGAGGGGGGCUGCUCCUAGUACGAGAGGACCGGAGUGGACGCAUCACUGGUGUUCGGGUUGUCAUGCCAAUGGCACUGCCCGGUAGCUAAAUGCGGAAGAGAUAAGUGCUGAAAGCAUCUAAGCACGAAACUUGCCCCGAGAUGAGUUCUCCCUGAGACUUAGAGUCUCCUGAAGGAACGUUGAAGACGACGACGUUGAUAGGCCGGGUGUGUAAGCGCAGCGAUGCGUUGAGCUAACCGGUACUAAUGAACCGUGAGGCUUAACCUUACAACGCCGAAG
RNAcentral lists this ribosomal RNA (2923 nucleotides) under Salmonella enterica. RNAcentral's name for it is "23S ribosomal RNA". It matches the Rfam family "Bacterial large subunit ribosomal RNA". Lineage: Bacteria; Pseudomonadati; Pseudomonadota; Gammaproteobacteria; Enterobacterales; Enterobacteriaceae. The record is from RNAcentral.